GUAGGGGUGGCAAUUUCUCAACUUGGACCGGAUCCGAUCCGGAUCCAUGUGGAUCGGAUUCAAAAGGAUCCGGAUCCAAUAUCAAUCUAUAUGAAUAGAUUUAAUGUGGAUCGAAUUUAGACCGAUCCGGAUUGGAUCCAAAUGGAUCCAUUUCAUUUUUAAUUCAAUUUAUGAGGUUGAAUAUCUCAACUUUUAGGAUUUAAUAUCUCAAUUUAUGUAGUUUAAUAUCUCAACUUUUAGGAUUUAAUAUCUCAACUUUUAGGAUUUAAUAUCUCAAUUUAUGUGGUUUAAUAAUUAAUAUCUAAACUUUCAAACUCACACAUAUUCACACACACUUUUCAUACACAGUUACACACUAUCACACACACGCACACACUCAUAUACACACACUGUUUAACACACACACCCCAUUUUACACACACACACACACUCUGUUUUACACACACACACACACUGUUUUACACACACACACACACACACUGUUUUACACACACACACACACAUUGUUUAACACACACACACACACUCACAUACACACACUGUUUUACACACACACACACACACACUCACAUGCACACACAGCUUCUACACACACUCACAUACACACACUGUUUACACACACACACACACACACUCUGUUUUACAGACACACACACACACACACUGUUUUACACACACACACACUCGCAUACACACACAAUUUCUACACACACACACACACUAUUUUACGCGCACACACACACACACACUGUUUUACACACACACACACACACACUGUUUUACA
RNAcentral lists this long non-coding RNA (784 nucleotides) under Erythranthe guttata (spotted monkey flower). RNAcentral describes it as "long non-coding RNA (EGUT_LNC003486)". Lineage: Eukaryota; Viridiplantae; Streptophyta; Magnoliopsida; Lamiales; Phrymaceae. The record is from RNAcentral.